CCUACGGGAGGCUGCAGUGAGGAAUAUUGGUCAAUGGACGAGAGUCUGAACCAGCCAAGUAGCGUGAAGGAUGACUGCCCUAUGGGUUGUAAACUGCUUUUAUAAAGGAAUAAAACGAGGCACGUGUGCCUUUUUGCAUGUACUUUAUGAUUAAGGAUCGGCUAACUCCGUGCCAGCCGCCCCGGUAAUACGGAGGAUCCGAGCGUUAUCCGGAUUUAUUGGGUUUAAAGGGAGCGUAGAUGGGUUGUUAAGUCAGUUGUGAAAGUUUGCGGUUCAACCGUAAAAUUGCAAUUGAUACUGGCAGUCUUGAGUGCAGUUGAGGUAGGCGGAAUUCGUGGUGUAGCGGUGAAAUGCUUAGAGAUCACGAAGAACGCCGAUUGCGAAGGCGGCUUACUAAACUGUGACUGACAUUGAUGCUCGAAAGUGUGGGUAUCAAACAGGAUUAGAUACCCGAGUAGUC
This 460-nucleotide ribosomal RNA is filed under the name uncultured bacterium. RNAcentral's name for it is "partial 16S ribosomal RNA". It matches the Rfam family "Bacterial small subunit ribosomal RNA", at positions 338 to 795 of the family's 1533-position model. The record is from RNAcentral.